Molecule: long non-coding RNA, 254 nt
Organism: Pezoporus flaviventris
Lineage: Eukaryota; Metazoa; Chordata; Aves; Psittaciformes; Psittacidae
Exons: 3
Source: RefSeq, a predicted model, not a curated record
CUGCUUCAAGAUUCACUGGAGGUUGGUAUCGUGGGCCAUGUUCCUUCUGAUUUCAUACCUGCAAGCAGUUUACAGAGGAGCCCUGCUCCUACCACACUUUCACAGGCAAGAGCUGAGAGGACUACAAGUCGAAACUUCAUUUCAGGGCAAAAAUUAUUGUGAUGCCUGCAUGAUGCUGUAUCAUUUCUUCAUGCCACUGUAUCUCAGCACUUAGAAGGUUUAAAUCUACAUCUCUUGAGGGGUAUUAAGAAGGU